Molecule: ribosomal RNA, 253 nt
Filed under: uncultured bacterium
Lineage: Bacteria
Description: partial 16S ribosomal RNA
Rfam family: Bacterial small subunit ribosomal RNA
Source: RNAcentral
UACGUAGGGACCAAGCGUUGUUCGGAUUUACUGGGCGUAAAGGGCGCGUAGGCGGCGUGACAAGUCACUUGUGAAAUCUCUGAGCUUAACUCAGAACGGCCAAGUGAAACUGUUGUGCUAGAGUGCAGAAGGGGCAAUCGGAAUUCUUGGUGUAGCGGUGAAAUGCGUAGAUAUCAAGAGGAACACCUGAGGUGAAGACGGGUUGCUGGGCUGACACUGACGCUGAGGCACGAAAGCGUGGAGAGCAAACAGG